RNAcentral lists this ribosomal RNA (489 nucleotides) under uncultured Alphaproteobacteria bacterium. RNAcentral describes it as "bacterial SSU rRNA". It matches the Rfam family "Bacterial small subunit ribosomal RNA", at positions 1 to 535 of the family's 1533-position model. The record is from RNAcentral. Lineage: Bacteria; Pseudomonadati; Pseudomonadota; Alphaproteobacteria.
UAGUGAGUUUGAUCCUGGCUCAGGGUGAACGCUGGCGGCAGGCCUAACACAUGCAAGUCGAACGGGUCCUUCGGGACUAGUGGCGCACGGGUGCGUAACGCGUGGGAAUCUGCCCUCUGGUUCGGAACAACAGUUGGAAACGACUGCUAAUACCGGAUAAUGACUUCGGUCCAAAGAUUUAUCGCCUGAGGAUGAGCCCGCGUAGGAUUAGCUAGUUGGAGAGGUAAAGGCUCACCAAGGCAUCGAUCAGUAGCUGGUCUGAGAGGGGUGAUCGGCCACACUGGGACUGAGACACGGCCCAGACUCCUACGGGGAGGCAGCAGUAGGGAAUAUUGGACAAUGGGCGAAGCCUGAUCCAGCAACGCCGCGUGAGGGAUGACGGCCUUCGGGGUUGUAAACCGUCUUUCGGUAAGGACGAAGCGCAAGUGACGGUACUACUAAAGAACGCACCGGCCACUACGUGCCAGCAGCCGGUAAUCUGAUGGCGCG